This 396-nucleotide ribosomal RNA is filed under the name uncultured bacterium. Its description in RNAcentral is "bacterial SSU rRNA". It matches the Rfam family "Bacterial small subunit ribosomal RNA", at positions 361 to 774 of the family's 1533-position model. The record is from RNAcentral.
AUAUUGGACAAUGGGGGAAACCCUGAUCCAGCAAUGCCGCGUGAGUGAAGAAGGCCUUAGGGUUGUAAAGCUCUUUCGCCCGCGAAGAUAAUGACGGUAGCGGGAGAAGAAGCCCCGGCUAACUCCGUGCCAGCAGCCGCGGUAAUACGGAGGGGGCUAGCGUUGUUCGGAAUUACUGGGCGUAAAGCGUACGUAGGCGGAUGCGCAAGUUGGGGGUGAAAUCCCGGGGCUUAACCUCGGAAUUGCCCUCAAAACUGCACGUCUUGAGACCGAGAGAGGUUAGGGGAAUUCCUAGUGUAGAAGUGAAAUUCGUAGAUAUUAGGAAGAACACCAGUGGCGAAGGCGCCUUACUGGCUCGGUACUGACGCUGAGGUACGAAAGCGUGGGGAGCAAACA